AUUGCCGGGUAGCAAUAUUCGGCGGUCGGAGUGGCGUAAGGGUGCGUAACACGUGGGUAAUUUGCCCUGAAGUUGGGGAUAACUCGCUGAAAGGCGAGCUAAUACCGAAUGUGGAUCAAGGGUGGCAUCGCUCGUGAUCUAAAGUUGGGGACCGAAAGGCCUGACGCUUCAGGAUGAGCCCGCGGCCUAUCAGCUUGUUGGUGAGGUAACGGCUCACCAAGGCUAAGACGGGUAGCUGGUCUGAGAGGACGACCAGCCACACUGGAACUGAGACACGGUCCAGACACCUACGGGUGGCAGCAGUCGAGAAUUUUUCACAAUGGGCGAAAGCCUGAUGGAGCGACGCCGCGUGGGGGAUGAAUGGCUUCGGCCCGUAAACCCCUGUCAUUUGCGAACAAACCUUGCCCGCUAACACCGGGCGAGCUGAUUGUAGCGAAAGAGGAAGGGACGGCUAACUCUGUGCCAGCAGCCGCGGUAAUACAGAGGUCCCAAGCGUUGUUCGGAUUCACUGGGCGUAAAGGGUGCGCAGGUGGUCGGGUAAGUCUGAUGUGAAAUCCCGCAGCUCAACUGCGGAAUGGCAUUGGAUACUAUUUGGCUAGAGGGUUGGAGGGGGGACUGGAAUUCUCGGUGUAGCAGUGAAAUGCGUAGAUAUCGAGAGGAACACCAGUGGCGAAGGCGAGUCCCUGGACAACUCCUGACGCUGAGGCACGAAAGCUAGGGGAGCAAACAGGAUUAGAUACCCUGGUAGUCCUAGCCGUAAACGGUGCACGUUUGCUGUAAGAGGAAUCGACCCCUUUUGUGGCGAAGCU
Molecule: ribosomal RNA, 809 nt
Filed under: uncultured Verrucomicrobiota bacterium
Lineage: Bacteria; Pseudomonadati; Verrucomicrobiota
Description: bacterial SSU rRNA
Rfam family: Bacterial small subunit ribosomal RNA
Source: RNAcentral